RNAcentral lists this ribosomal RNA (115 nucleotides) under Clostridia bacterium. The record is from RNAcentral. Lineage: Bacteria; Bacillati; Bacillota; Clostridia.
UCCGGUGACGAUAGCAACGAGGACCCACCUGUUCCCAUACCGAACACAGAAGUUAAGCUCGUUUACGCCCGAUGUAGUUGCCUUUUAAGGCCGCAAGAUAAGGUAGUUGCCGGAU